GCUGGCGGCCGUAGCGCGGUGGUCCCACCUGACCCCAUGCCGAACUCAGAAGUGAAACGCCGUAGCGCCGAUGGUAGUGUGGGGUCUCCCCAUGCGAGAGUAGGGAACUGCCAGGC
RNAcentral lists this ribosomal RNA (116 nucleotides) under Citrobacter freundii. The record is from RNAcentral. RNAcentral also lists the same sequence under 3 other names. Lineage: Bacteria; Pseudomonadati; Pseudomonadota; Gammaproteobacteria; Enterobacterales; Enterobacteriaceae.